UACGUAGGGGGCGAGCGUUGUCCGGAUUUAUUGGGCGUAAAGAGCUCGUAGGCGGUUCGAUAAGUCGGACGUGAAAUCUCCACGCUCAACGUGGAGGGGCCGUUCGAUACUGUCGUGACUCGAGUCCGGUAGGGGAGUGUGGAAUUCCCGGUGUAGCGGUGAAAUGCGCAGAGAUCGGGAGGAACACCCGUAGCGAAGGCGGCACUCUGGGCCGGUACUGACGCUGAGGUGCGAAAGCGUGGGGAGCAAACAGG
RNAcentral lists this ribosomal RNA (254 nucleotides) under uncultured bacterium. RNAcentral's name for it is "partial 16S ribosomal RNA". It matches the Rfam family "Bacterial small subunit ribosomal RNA", at positions 524 to 776 of the family's 1533-position model. The record is from RNAcentral.